GACGAACGCUGGCGGCGUGCUUAACACAUGCAAGUCGAACGCUGAAGCUUGGUGCUUGCACUGGGUGGUUGAGUGGCGAACGGGUGAGUAAUACGGGAGUAACCUGCCCUGGCCUCUGGGAUAAGCCUGGGAAACUGGGUCUAAUACUGGAUAUGACAUGCCACUGCAUGGUGGUGUGUGGAAGGGGUUUUACUGGUUUUGGAUGGGCUCACGGCCUAUCAGCUUGUUGGUGGGGUAAUGGCCUACCAAGGCGACGACGGGUAGCCGGCCUGAGAGGGUGACCGGCCACACUGGGACUGAGACACGGCCCAGACUCCUACGGGAGGCAGCAGUGGGGAAUAUUGCACAAUGGGCGGAAGCCUGAUGCAGCGACGCCGCGUGAGGGAUGACGGCCUUCGGGUUGUAAACCUCUUUCAGCACGGAAGAAGCGAGAGUGACGGUACGUGCAGAAGAAGCGCCGGCUAACUACGUG
RNAcentral lists this ribosomal RNA (472 nucleotides) under uncultured bacterium. RNAcentral describes it as "partial 16S ribosomal RNA". It matches the Rfam family "Bacterial small subunit ribosomal RNA", at positions 28 to 507 of the family's 1533-position model. The record is from RNAcentral.